Long non-coding RNA from Ruditapes philippinarum (Manila clam), 2037 nucleotides. RefSeq lists it as uncharacterized. Lineage: Eukaryota; Metazoa; Mollusca; Bivalvia; Venerida; Veneridae. The transcript is spliced from 4 exons. The record is from RefSeq and is a predicted model, not a curated record.
UAGGAUGUAUUUCGGUGGAAAGCAUUUUCAAUUACGAGCAACAUCCCUCUGUUGAAAUAAACGGGGAUCCCGGACAUUGCUUUCCGGGAUGUGGUGAUCACACUGUAGUUGGCGUAACAAAAACAAAGUGUUACUGCCUGGGUUAAGACAUAAUGCUAACAAAUCAUACUCAGACCGGAUGUACUCACGAAUGUAAUCACCCUGUUGUUUCGUGUGGUUAUGAUAGUACGGUUAUAAAUUAUGCUUUCCUAUCAAUUUACAAAAUGAACCCAAGGGUGACAGCUAGUGCAAUAAUAUAUGCACAAAAUGAGAGACGUAACUGUCUCGCGUUGAAUACUGUCAGCCCAAAAACAUUUUAUUGGCAGGAAUGUACCUUUUCCUUAGUACCAAUGUGUGCAAAUGUUAAGUAUAUAUUUAAUCAUUAUAUCUAAUAAUCAUUGUUUUUUAUUUCUUACAUACUAAUUGUUGUGCUAAUACUACAAGUUUGCUGCUGUUUUCACUGUUAUAACGAGACGUUCAUUUAAUUUAUUAACGAAGCAACGCCCUGAAAGACGGUGACAGGUAGCCCUAACAUUAAUUUAUAUAUUGCCGGUGUUAUGGCCAAGUAGCUGGUCAAAUAUGCCGACGAAUUUUCGGCGGUGUCUUGCAAACACUUAAUUAAUAUUUGAAAUUCCUGGUGUUUUAAAAUUACAUAUACCGGUACAUUUACGUAUUUUGUUUAUGUACAGCAGAUAUAGACAUAGAAUUGGUAUUGAUCAAGCGGCGGACUUUGCAAAUUCACUAUGGUAACAGUCAUAGGCGAUUUUAAAUGGUUUUCUUUACCUUUGAAAUGUGAACAAACCGCCGAUGUUGCAAACGCAUAUGAUAAAAUUUUGCCAUGUUAUACAAACACGCAUAUAUAGGCGGGAAAGUUAAUAAUGUUGACGUAAUAUUUACCUUUACAACUUCGAAUGAACGAAAGCAUAAAGUCUUGACUUGUCCAGAUUGCGUUUAAACAGGAAUAAAAGGCACAUAUUGUUUCAAAACACAAGAAAUUUUAAAUACACAAAUGUAUUUGACUAAGAAAUUUACAGUUGAGCGGGUUUGCGGUUAGAAAAUAAAAAAAUUAACAGUGUUAACAAAAUUCCAGAUUUGUCAUAAUAAAAACAACAGUAGUUUAGUAGAGUUUUAGGUACAAUUUCUUAAAACUUCUAAACAAGCGUGCUUGGAAUAAAUUAUUGUAACCGUGAAAACCUAAAUCGCUUCUGUUAAUUCGCUCGGUUCUUAAUAAAACUCGCUCUGUAGAGAUUAACAGAAAACAGAAAAGGUAUUUGUCUUUAUCUGUUUACUUUUGUGUCUCAUAAAUUAUUAUUUUUUUGGUGUUGCGAGCUACCUAGAUGGAUGGAUAGAUGUAUGGAUGUGAGACUACUUUAUCCGAAAUAAAACUUAACAAGAGAGCUCAACAGGAAAUACAUUUUCUUUUGUAGUUUUUUAGCAAAUUAUAAAACAUGAGUAAAUUGAUUAUUGACUCUAUUUUUUUAUAUUAUUAUUCGUAAAGUUGAAUGUUUAAGUGUACACUACUUGCUGCAAAAAUCGUAAAGUACUUUUAAUGUUGACAUUGCAUUCAAUUUUAGUCGUUAAUAUUAGUAUUUCAUAUUUAUAUUUUGUUUUCGAAAAUUGAAUUGAAUACUUAUUCGCUAAAUGUACUUACAAAUAUCUCUUCUUUUUCAUUUCUUAAAUAGGAACUCGCGUCCAAGCUUUAUCCCGAGAACAUGCAAGUCAACAAUACUUUACAUGGAUUGGUGCAGCAAAUGUUUGUUUUGCAAAUCGAAUGUUUCAAACUGAUUAUUCAAAUGCAAAGGAUGUACAUGAACACCGAAGAUCUCAACUGUGGACUGGAAUGUUUAAAACAAAAAUAGUUUACAAAUACAAUUCAAACAUUCCUGCUGAACGACGUCAGGAUCGAAAAUUUUACGGUUACUUAACUAGAAAUUUUGAAGACAGAAUGAAAAUGCAAUUUACAGAAACAAAUUCCAACCAAAGAAGACUCUGCGAUGA